UGAAUACAAGAUGCUACGGCAUCGAAGCAGUCUAUGUCAGACUUCCAAGAAAAGCUUGCACUGUCAAAAACAAAGAAUGCCUGUACCAUAACCGACACAGGUGGGUAGGUAGAGUAUACUAAGGGGCGCGAGAUAACUCUCUCUAAGGAACUCGGCAAAAUGACUCCGUAACUUCGGGAGAAGGGGUGCCUUAUUUAUAAGGUUGCAAUAACAAGAUCCAAGCAACUGUUUAUCAAAAACACAGGUCUCCGCUAAGUCGUAAGACGAUGUAUGGGGGCUGACGCCUGCCCAGUGCCAGAAGGUUAAAGAAGUUGGUUAGUGUAUGCGAAGCUGAUGACUGAAGCCCUGGUGAACGGCGGCCGUAACUAUAACGGUCCUAAGGUAGCGAAAUUCCUUGUCGGGUAAGUUCCGACCCGCACGAAAGGCGUAAUGAUUUGGAUACUGUCUCGGAGAGAGGCUCGGUGAAAUAGACUUGUCUGUGAAGAUGCGGACUACCUGCACCAGGACAGAAAGACCCUAUGAAGCUUUACUGUAACUUGAAAUUGGAAUUGGACUUUGCUUGCGCAGUAUAGGUGGGAAGCGUUGAAGAUAUUCUUGCGGGAGUAUUGGAGCUAUCAGUGAGAUACCACUCUUGUAAUGUUAGAUUUCUAACUUUGAACCAUAAUCUGGUCAAAGAACAGUUUCAGGUGGGCAGUUUGACUGGGGCGGUCGCCUCCCAAAUGGUAACGGAGGCGUACAAAGGUUUCCUCUGAACGGAUAGAAAUCGUAUCUAGAGUGUAAAGGCAUAAGGAAGCUUGACUGUGAGACCUACAAGUCGAGCAGGGACGAAAGUCGGUCUUAGUGAUCUGACGGUACUGAGUGGAAAGGCCGUCACUCAACGGAUAAAAGUUACUCUAGGAUAACAGGCUGAUCUCCCCCAAGAGUUCACAUCGACGGGGAGGUUUGGCACCUCGAUGUCGGCUCAUCGCAUCCUGGGGCGGUAGUACGUCCCAAGGGUUGGGCUGUUCGCCCAUGAAAGCGGUACGCGAGCUGGGUUCAGAACGUCGUGAGACAGUUCGGUCCAUAUCCGGUGUAGGCGUUAGAAUAUUGAGAGGAGCCUUCUUUAGUACGAGAGGACCGAGAAGGACACACCGCUGGUGUACCAGUUAUCGUGCCAACGGUAAACGCUGGGUAGCUAUGUGUGGAGUGGAUAACCGCUGAAAGCAUCUAAGUGGGAAGCCCACCUCAAGAUGAGUAUUCUCA
This 1242-nucleotide ribosomal RNA is filed under the name metagenome. RNAcentral describes it as "bacterial LSU rRNA". It matches the Rfam family "Bacterial large subunit ribosomal RNA", at positions 1564 to 2816 of the family's 2925-position model. The record is from RNAcentral.